AGAAAUAGACAAACCCGUCAAAAGACGGGGACGCAAAGCCAGAAGGGUCUAAAGCGGCAAAAGCCGCAAUGACAGCCGGUUGC
Molecule: non-coding RNA, 83 nt
Filed under: Agathobaculum butyriciproducens
Lineage: Bacteria; Bacillati; Bacillota; Clostridia; Eubacteriales; Butyricicoccaceae
Description: Cyclic di-GMP-I riboswitch
Rfam family: c-di-GMP-I riboswitch aptamer
About the family: GEMM was predicted in a large-scale screen for bacterial structured RNA regulatory elements.
Source: RNAcentral